RNAcentral lists this transfer RNA (84 nucleotides) under Winkia neuii subsp. anitrata. Its description in RNAcentral is "tRNA-Leu". It matches the Rfam family "tRNA". Rfam says of the family: Transfer RNA (tRNA) molecules are approximately 80 nucleotides in length. Their secondary structure includes four short double-helical elements and three loops (D, anti-codon, and T loops). Further hydrogen bonds mediate the characteristic L-shaped molecular structure. tRNAs have two regions of fundamental functional importance: the anti-codon, which is responsible for specific mRNA codon recognition, and the 3' end, to which the tRNAs corresponding amino acid is attached (by aminoacyl-tRNA synthetases). tRNAs cope with the degeneracy of the genetic code in two manners: having more than one tRNA (with a specific anti-codon) for a particular amino acid; and 'wobble' base-pairing, i.e. permitting non-standard base-pairing at the 3rd anti-codon position. Lineage: Bacteria; Bacillati; Actinomycetota; Actinomycetes; Actinomycetales; Actinomycetaceae. The record is from RNAcentral. RNAcentral also lists the same sequence under 22 other names.
GCUCGAGUGGCGGAAUAGGCAGACGCGCACGGUUCAGGUCCGUGUGGUAGAGAUACCGUGGGGGUUCAACUCCCCCCUCGAGCA